GCUUAGUUUGCGUUAGGGAUUGCAGUGAAAAUCCUUUUUAAAGCCACUCGUAAUAGCCUUUUAAAAAAGGUAUAAUUAGCUAAAACACAACAAACUUGAAUAUAGCAAUGGGCUUUAAAAAGAUUGUAACGUAAAGCCCGACCGCAU
RNAcentral lists this small RNA (147 nucleotides) under Siansivirga zeaxanthinifaciens CC-SAMT-1. RNAcentral's name for it is "Flavo-1 RNA". It matches the Rfam family "Flavo-1 RNA". Lineage: Bacteria; Pseudomonadati; Bacteroidota; Flavobacteriia; Flavobacteriales; Flavobacteriaceae. The record is from Rfam by way of RNAcentral.